This 481-nucleotide ribosomal RNA is filed under the name uncultured bacterium. Its description in RNAcentral is "partial 16S ribosomal RNA". It matches the Rfam family "Bacterial small subunit ribosomal RNA", at positions 28 to 507 of the family's 1533-position model. The record is from RNAcentral.
GACGAACGUUGGCGGCGUGCUUAAUACAUGCAAGUCAACUGAAGCAGUGGUAGCAAUAUCGCUGUGGAGGUGGCGCACGGGUGAGUAACACGUAGGUAAUCUGCCUUCAGGUCUGGCAUAACUCCGGGAAACCGGGGCUAAUAGCAGAUGAUGCAGCGGCGCGACAUCGAGACAGUUGUUAAAGCUAUGGCGCCUGAAGAUGAGCCUGCGUCUGAUUAGCUAGUUGGCGGGGUAACGGCCCACCAAGGCAACGAUCAGUAGCUGGUCUGAGAGGAUGAUCGACCACACUGGAACUGAGACACGGUCCAGACUACUACGGGAGGCAGCAGUAAGGAAUAUUGCUCAAUGGGAGAAAUCCUGAAGCAGCAACGCCGCGUGAGGGACGAAGGGCUUUUGCUUGUAAACCUCUGUAGUGAGAGAAAAAAAUCCCAAUCUUUGGGACAUGAUGGUAUCUCAAAAGUAAGCCCCGGCUAACUACGUG